Molecule: transfer RNA, 64 nt
Filed under: Empoascanara plamka
Lineage: Eukaryota; Metazoa; Arthropoda; Insecta; Hemiptera; Cicadellidae
Description: tRNA-Pro
Source: RNAcentral
CAGCAUUUAGUUUAUUUAAAAUUUAAAUUUUGGGGAUUUAAGAAAUGUUAAUUCAUUUUGCUGA